GCGUCUACCAGUUCCACCACUUCGGCGAGCCGCCAAACCUAGGACACCCUCCCCUACCGGUCAAGCGAUGCGUUGCCUGUCGGCAUCUAGCGGCCUAUCUUCCGCUCUACGAGGCACUUAUGAGCGAAAGGGGCCGUCCGGAGACCGCCAAAGCCAGGAUCUCCGUGGCACGGAAUCCGCGGGCAACAUACGACUACCACCUCCUGGAGCAGUGGGAGGCGGGAAUCGUCCUCACCGGCACGGAAGUCAAGAGUCCGCGGAACGGGAAGGCAUCGAUCAAAGAGGCAUACGCCAUCCUUCGGAGUGGCGAGGUCUGGCUCGAAGGCAU
RNAcentral lists this unclassified non-coding RNA (328 nucleotides) under uncultured fungus. Its description in RNAcentral is "sequence contains ITS1". Lineage: Eukaryota; Fungi. The record is from RNAcentral.